CUUGGUUGACACUGCUUUUAUUGUGGAUAAAGGAGAGAUGGUCAGUAAUUAAUGGCUUGAAGUAUUAUUGGAGUGGUUUAUCAUUUCUGAAACUAAUCGUGUCAGAAUUGACUUUGAAAAGCAUUGCUUUUUACAGAAAUAUAUUAACUUUUUAGGAGUAAUUUCUAGUUUGGAUUGUAAUACGAAAUAAUUUAAAAGGGCUUCGCUCAUAUAUAGGAAAAUCGCAUAUGGUCCUAGUAUUAAAUUCUUAUUGCUUACUGAUUUUUUUGAGUUAAGAGUUGUUAUAUGCUAGAAUAUGAGGAUGUGAAUAUAAAUAAGAGAAGAAAAAAGAAUAAAGUAGAUUGAGUCUCCAAUUUUAUGUAAGCUUCAGAAGAACUGGUUUGUUUACAUGCAAGCUUAUAGUUGAAAUAUUUUUCAGGAAUUACAUGAAUGACAGUCUUCGAACCAAUGUGUUUGUUCGAUUUCAACCAGAGACUAUAGCAUGUGCUUGCAUCUACCUUGCAGCUAGAGCACUUCAGGUAGGUGUAUAUUUCCCAUUUUGUUCUGUAGGAUAAAUCACACAAAUUUUCGGUGGUUCCAAUACAGAUUUAGCAAAAAUUUAAUUUAAAACAUUCUGUUCUUAUGGUUUAGAUUCCGUUGCCAACUCGUCCCCAUUGGUUUCUUCUUUUUGGUACUACAGAAGAGGAAAUCCAGGAAAUCUGCAUAGAAACACUUAGGCUUUAUACCAGAAAAAAGCCAAACUAUGAAUUACUGGAAAAAGAAGUAGAAAAAA
RNAcentral lists this small RNA (772 nucleotides) under Pan troglodytes (chimpanzee). Its description in RNAcentral is "retained intron". Lineage: Eukaryota; Metazoa; Chordata; Mammalia; Primates; Hominidae. The record is from RNAcentral.